ACGCGACCCCAGGUCAGGCGGGGUUACCCGCUGAGUUU
This 38-nucleotide ribosomal RNA is filed under the name Ficus phaeosyce. RNAcentral describes it as "partial 26S ribosomal RNA". Lineage: Eukaryota; Viridiplantae; Streptophyta; Magnoliopsida; Rosales; Moraceae. The record is from RNAcentral.